This is a long non-coding RNA of Pan troglodytes (chimpanzee), 995 nucleotides long. RefSeq lists it as uncharacterized. Lineage: Eukaryota; Metazoa; Chordata; Mammalia; Primates; Hominidae. The transcript is spliced from 2 exons. The record is from RefSeq and is a predicted model, not a curated record.
ACCACCAAGCAAGCAAUCAAUUCGGCAGCAGACACCAGCUGGGUAUCCUCCAAUUUAAUUCUGACACUAUUUGGAGAUAGCAUCAGAUCCCACAGGUUGAGUGCUCAGUCCCCAAGACCGCCCACCCCCUAGACACCAGUGAACUAGUCAAUGGAGCCCAGAGCUGUCUAUCUCUGCAGAAGAGCUGUCUGUGAGGCAGGUGUAUACAGAAGAGAGAGAGAGGAAGGAAGAGAACGAGAGACUGCAGACAAAUAUGAACAGCAAGUGUCUCUCUCCAGCCCUCCCUGGAGCCAGGCUGUGCUUCUCUGCUCCUGACUUACAGUUGCUUCACUGUGCAGUGAAAGUCAGAGCUUGGCUCCCACGCCAUACACAGGAGAGUCCCAUCCCCGCUUCUGGCAUCUUUUCUCACUGUCCUAUUACACAGACCCUCCAUUCCGGCCACACACCGUACCCUGUCCCACCUAAGGACCUUGGCUCAGGCCCUUUCCACCACCUGGAAUGCUCCUGCUACCCCCACAGGGCUGCCCAAAUGCCUUUUCCAUGAAGGACACCCCAACUGGAAGCAAUUUUUCUUUUUCCUGGAAUUCCAUACACUUACCAGUUGUGCAAGCAGCUUUGCUAGACAGUUCCCUAACUUCAAGCCUUGUUCCUCCCGUAGAUGGGUUAGGUCUCUGGAUAUUAGGGUCCCCAGAGUAUUUAUUUAUAGUUCCAGUUCCCAGUAUGGCGCCCUGUACUCUGCAGGCACCUGACCAAUGGCUAUCAACCCAGGCGCACCAACCCUCCAUAUCAGAACGCUUCAUACACAGCCUGCAGGAGGGACUAGCAGGGCAGAGGGACCUGCUUUGCCCAAUAGUGGAAGUCACAGGACAUUUCUCAACAUCAUUCACGAUAAAAACAUCUUUUUUUUUUUUCUGCGACAUAGUCACUCACCCUCCACCCUCUUUCGGUAAAUCCUCCAUAAAACUACAUAAGGAGAAAUAUCCCUUUGUUUUACA